This 373-nucleotide ribosomal RNA is filed under the name uncultured bacterium. RNAcentral's name for it is "bacterial SSU rRNA". It matches the Rfam family "Bacterial small subunit ribosomal RNA", at positions 525 to 896 of the family's 1533-position model. The record is from RNAcentral.
ACGUAGGAGACGAGCGUUAUCCGGAUUUACUGGGCGUAAAGCGUGUGCAGGCGGUUCGGCAAGUUGGAUGUGAAGUCUCUCGGCUCAACUGGGAGAGGUCGUUCAAAACUACCGAACUUGAGGUCAUCAGAGGAAAAUGGAAUUCCCGGUGUAGUGGUGAAAUGCGUAGAUAUCGGGAGGAACACCAGUGGCGAAAGCGGUUUUCUGGGAUGAUCCUGACGCUCAGACACGAAAGCUAGGGGAGCAAACGGGAUUAGAGACCCCGGUAGUCCUAGCUGUAAACGAUGUAGACUUGGCGUCGGAGGGUUCAAAACCUUCGGUGUCGUAGCUAACGCGAUAGGUCUACCGCCUGGGGACUACGGCCGCAAGGUUA